UACGUAGGGGGCUAGCGUUGUCCGGAAUCAUUGGGCGUAAAGCGCGCGUAGGCGGCCCGGUAAGUCCGCUGUAAAAGUCAAAGGCUCAACCUUUGAAUGUCAGUGGAUACUGCCGGGCUAGAGUCCGGAAGAGGCGAGUGGAAUUCCUGGUGUAGCGGUGGAAUGCGCAGAUAUCAGGAGGAACACCAACGGCGAAGGCAGCUCGCUAGGACGGUACUGACGCUAAGGCGCGAAAGCGUGGGGAGCGAACAGG
Molecule: ribosomal RNA, 253 nt
Filed under: uncultured bacterium
Lineage: Bacteria
Description: partial 16S ribosomal RNA
Rfam family: Bacterial small subunit ribosomal RNA
Source: RNAcentral